Molecule: small nuclear RNA, 113 nt
Filed under: Vavraia culicis subsp. floridensis
Lineage: Eukaryota; Fungi; Microsporidia; Pleistophoridae
Description: Vavraia culicis 'floridensis' U5 spliceosomal RNA
Rfam family: U5 spliceosomal RNA
About the family: U5 RNA is a component of both types of known spliceosome. The precise function of this molecule is unknown, though it is known that the 5' loop is required for splice site selection and p220 binding, and that both the 3' stem-loop and the Sm site are important for Sm protein binding and cap methylation.
Source: Rfam by way of RNAcentral
GAAUUUUCUCCUGGCACAAUCGUUUAAAUCUUUUGGCUUUUACUCAAGAUUUCCGUGUGCUGGAUACGAGGCAAGUUCUUGCUAAUUUUUGGAGUGCGGUGCUCUCACCGCAU